UAGUUGCAAAUAGAAAUCUUUAUUUAGCUGAGAGCAUGCACUGGGGAGAACUCAGCUGCAAGGCAUUACCAGCCAGCGCUUCAAGCAGAUGAAGGGCUGAGUGCCUUGGUCCUGAAACAGUGAUCUAGACGGCAGAGCACAGCAUCCUCUGGACACAGCAGCAGGUGGGUGUGCUGUAUGUCCAUGUUUCUUUUUUUUAAAAUUAAUUUCUAUUUAUUUUUGGCCAUGCUGGGUCUUAGUGGCAGCAUGCAGGAUAUUUAGUUGUGGCAUACAAACUCGUAAGUUGCAGUGUGUGGGAUCCAGGCCCCCUGCAUUGGGAGUGUGGAGCCUUAGCUAUUGGGCCACCAGGAAAGUCCCCACGUCCCCUUGGGUAUUAGAAGCUAGAAGAAUAGUCAUGACCCUGAACCAUGUACCAUGAACCAUGUCAUUUUUGUGGUUGCAGAGCAUUAUUGUCUCUCAUUUCAGAUUUGGUCACAGAGUGACAUUGUCCCUUUCUCAUGUCAUUAUGUCACAGGAAAUCACAAUAUGCUGUGAGGAUGAGCUGCAAGUGACUUAGGUAGAUCCAGAGGGAGGCCUAAGAGCUGGAGCUGGUGAGCAAAGCAGAGCUAAGGUUCAGUUAGGUUACUCUGUUCCUUAAGUGAGUGAAGACUAUUGAUGGAACAUAGUUAUACUUGAUUUUAGAUACAGCUUUCUGAUGGAAGAUAAGAGAUGAUGAGGGCUGACUUAAGACAAUAAUAAAAAUUGUAACAAUGAUAAACAACUAUCACUGAUGGACUGUAGCCCACCAGGC
RNAcentral lists this long non-coding RNA (790 nucleotides) under Bos taurus (domestic cattle). RNAcentral describes it as "long non-coding RNA NONBTAT009367". Lineage: Eukaryota; Metazoa; Chordata; Mammalia; Artiodactyla; Bovidae. The record is from RNAcentral.